This 91-nucleotide ribosomal RNA is filed under the name Lactobacillus delbrueckii subsp. bulgaricus. RNAcentral describes it as "partial 16S ribosomal RNA". It matches the Rfam family "Bacterial small subunit ribosomal RNA", at positions 1 to 92 of the family's 1533-position model. The record is from RNAcentral. Lineage: Bacteria; Bacillati; Bacillota; Bacilli; Lactobacillales; Lactobacillaceae.
UUUCAAAUUGAGAGUUUGAUCCUGGCUCAGGACGAACGCUGGCGGCGUGCCUAAUACAUGCAAGUCGAGCGAGCUGAAUUCAAAGAUCCCU